RNAcentral lists this long non-coding RNA (1624 nucleotides) under Androctonus crassicauda. Lineage: Eukaryota; Metazoa; Arthropoda; Arachnida; Scorpiones; Buthidae. The record is from RNAcentral.
UAUAUUCCCCUGCCUCGAUAGAUUUUUGUAUAUGAACAGGACCAUUUUUAAUGUAUAUUCCCCUGCUUCGAUAGACCUUAUACAUGAACAGGAUCAUUUUUAAUGUAUGUUCGCCCGCCUCGAUAAACUUUAUACAUGAACAGGGCCAUUUUUAAUGUAUAUAUUCCUCUGUCUCAAUAGAUUUUAUACCUGAACAGGACCAUUUUUAAUGUAUAUUCCUCUGUCUCAAUAGAUUUUUAUACUUCAAACAAGACGAUUUUUAGAGUAUAUCCUCAUUUCUUGAUAGAUUUUUAUGGAAGAAGGGGCUGUUUGAGUUAUAUUUCCGUGUAUUCUACUUGAUAAAUUUUGUACUUAUAAAACACUAUUUUUAGUGUACAUUUCCAUUCUUCGAUAGAUUACAUGCAUGAACAGGACCAUUUUAGAGUACACUUAUCGUGCAUUACUAGCUUUCGUAAGGAACACGACCACUUUAGGUAUACAUUCUUACGCCUUCUAAUUGAUAGAUUCUUAUAUACGUAUUAUUUACUCAAUUUCCAAUAUUUUGUUUGGCAUUUCGGUUUUUCUCAAGAGUAUUUUUUAUCCACCAUUCCCAUUUUAAAUAGCAUUUCGGAUGCGAAUGCGGCUAUACGUUAACUUCACACCUCGUAUAGAAAGGAAUGUAAAUUUUCUGUUUACCAAAAUCAUUUGGCGUAUAAAACGAAAUCGGAGAGAAGUAUUGCCAAAAUAGAAUUUUCAGAGUUUAAAUCAUUUCGAAACGUCGACUCUCCAACAAGUAACAAGUAUCCUUUUAUGUUCAAUAAAUUUCUACUGGUGCCAUCAACGACUUCCUACACAUCCUUUGGUAUAACUAUUUUACCAGAAAGAAAUAACAAAGCGGGAUAUAUAGAAUAUAUUCAACUCGGACAGACAACCGUUUAAUGUCUAUCAACAACGACACCCGUUUCUAAUCAAGUAGCACACAUAAAGAGAUCUUUAUGGACGACUAAAUGUUCUCGGCCGACAUUCUUACCUUAGGUUUGACGAUCUUUAUAAGCAGAACAUGGAAAGACAUAAAGAGGCUCUUUCUCCUGGCAUUUUCUACGCUUUGAUUACAUCAAACGCACUAUCUCGACAUCCGGAUCGGUCGAAAUUGUUUUUAAUUAACGCCUACAGCCGUCAUUUUAUCAAUAUUCAAGUUUUAAGAUUUUAAACAAACCUUGCAAAGAGAUAAGAGAAAAGCUCGAUUCAAGUAUGGCAGAUUGGAAACGAAGAUCCGUGUAAGUGCACGUAACCACAUCCAGUCUCUUGAUGGAUUACGAAGUUAAUUCUGCAGUCCUAAAGUAGGUUUAAGGAGUCGACGAUAAGAAUUUUAAAUUUGUGAAUUAGAGAAGAGGAGGAAAAAAAAAAAAAAAAAGAAAAAACCUCGACGCUUUCGGUUUUUACAGUGCGAGUCACGAUGCCAAACUUAAGGAUUUUUCCUCUUGUUUUUUCUUUCCUCUUCUUCUCCCCGUUUCUUUAUAGGAUACAAGUUUGUUUCUUAAUGCAUAAAGAAUUUAUCCACCUAGAUUAUUAUCGAUAGACCUCUAGUUCAAAAAUUUAUCGCUGGGUUUGCUUUACUCUUUCUUAAAACUUUGAGGAAUUGAUC